Non-coding RNA from Pelobates cultripes (western spadefoot toad), 290 nucleotides. The record is from the annotation of a GenBank genome assembly. Lineage: Eukaryota; Metazoa; Chordata; Amphibia; Anura; Pelobatidae.
UACGUGGUAUAACAGAGCAUGGUUAAUGAGUACGUGGUAUAGCAGAGCAUGGUUUACGAGUAUGUGGUAUAGCUGAGCAGGGUUUACGAGUACGUGGUAUAGCAGAGCAGGGUUUAUGAGUACGUGGUAUAGCAGAGCAUGGUUUAUGAGUACGUGGUAUAGCAGAGCAGGGUUUACGAAUACGUGGUAUAACAGAGCAUGGUUAAUGAGUACGUGGUAUAGCAGAGCAUGGUUUACGAGUAUGUGGUAUAGCUGAGCAUGGUUUACGAGUAUGUGGUAUAGCAGAGCAU